UCGAUCUGGCUGCGACAUCCGUCACCCCACUGAUCGCCAGGGUUGAUUCGGCUGAUCUGGCUGGCUAGGCGGGUGUCUCCUUCCUCCUUCUGCGCUCCAAGUGAGUCCCUCCCGAAGCUGUGCGCUUGGUUGAAGAGGACGACCUGACCUGAUAGAGGAGGCCCGGUCAAGGAUAUACGAGUAACUGCACUUCCCUGCUAGAACCUCCAAACAAGCUCUCAAAACAAUCUUAAUACAUAGAAAUGAUACAGUUGGACCUCUUUCUUUCAUAAAUAAUUUAUAAUCUUAAUAAAUCAGAAUUUGAGUUAUA
This 310-nucleotide small nuclear RNA is filed under the name Nannospalax galili (Upper Galilee mountains blind mole rat). RNAcentral describes it as "7SK RNA (ENSNGAG00000002675.1)". It matches the Rfam family "7SK RNA". From Rfam's summary of the family: 7SK was discovered as an abundant small nuclear RNA in the mid-70s but a possible function has only recently been suggested. Two independent studies have found that 7SK RNA binds the CDK9/cyclin T complex (known as elongation factor P-TEFb). P-TEFb activates transcription by phosphorylating the C-terminal domain of RNA polymerase II. Lineage: Eukaryota; Metazoa; Chordata; Mammalia; Rodentia; Spalacidae. The record is from Rfam by way of RNAcentral.